GUCUCGUGAGAUGUCUGCCCUACCUCCACUGAAGGGAGGGAAGGAUGGGGUCCCACCCGGAAGAAGGUCCAUCCGUGCUGGUCAGGGUAAAGCAACAGAUAUCUCUCUAGUGUAGGCAUGCAGCCCCCCUUUCACGGUCUGGCUGAAGGCUAGUCCCUGACCUUGGUGUCCAUGCACGUAGUCAAAACUGUCCAAGUCUUUCUCUAAGGGAGAAAAGGAGGACCAGUUAAAGACUCAUUAGGAAGCAUAAACGCAGCCUGGCUCACCAGGUAAAAGUUUAUGACUUCAAUAUCCGGCUCAGCUGGGACCUGGAUGCUGUUUGCACGAACUUCUACCGGCUUUUUCUGCCUUUAGUUCUUCACCUGCCAUUGCAAGGCACUGGUAGAACUUCCCCAAAUGAAGACACUAGGCUUUUCGACACGUGGAUUUGAUGUGACUCAGCCAAGAAGACUUCUAACCCUGCUGCCCACUUAAACCUCGCUCUUGGGGUUCUGGAGACCACUGCCUCUCCAGCUCCUUCACGGAAAAGGAAAGAGGUGCUGCCUUGACUCCCUCAUCAGCAGGCCAUUCUGGUUUUGAAUUUUUUACCCUCUGCAUGUAUAACUUAAAGAAAAAAAAAUCAGCAUGCUUCAAAGCAAAAAGGAAAAUGCCCUGGUGCUUGCAAAUAAACACGGAAGAAAGAGAAAGGAGUUUCUCGGCUCCUCCCUUUCCCCACGUGGCCAGCCCUCUCGGCAGUUCCCCUGUGCAGGGGAUCCUUUCUGGUCACCGGAGAAGGAGAGAGUGACAAGUCCGCGGGGGAGCUGCAGUAAUACGUCCCUCAAUAACGCGCACCUCACGGGGCGCCUGGGUGGCUCAGUCACCCUAAGCGUCCGACUUUGGCUCAGGUCACGAUCUUUCUGUUUGUGAGUUCGAGCCCCGCGUCGGUUUCUGUGCUGACAGCUCAGAGC
Long non-coding RNA from Prionailurus viverrinus (fishing cat), 947 nucleotides. RefSeq lists it as uncharacterized. The record is from RefSeq and is a predicted model, not a curated record. NCBI's taxonomy places the organism in Eukaryota, Metazoa, Chordata, Mammalia, Carnivora, Felidae. The transcript has 3 exons.